This 408-nucleotide ribosomal RNA is filed under the name uncultured bacterium. RNAcentral describes it as "partial 16S ribosomal RNA". It matches the Rfam family "Bacterial small subunit ribosomal RNA", at positions 28 to 526 of the family's 1533-position model. The record is from RNAcentral.
GACGAACGCUGGCGGCGUGCUUAACACAUGCAAGUCGAACGAAGUGGUGAACGGGUGAGUAACGCGUAAUCCACCUGCCCUUCAGAGGGGGACAACAGCAGGAAACGACUGCUAAUACCGCAUACUGAAGGCGGGGGUUGCGUCGGAUUGACUAGUUGGAGGGGUAACGGCCCACCAAGGCGAUGAUCAGUAGCCGGUCUGAGAGGAUGAACGGCCAAAUUGGGACUGGGACACGGCCCAGACUCCUACGGGAGGCAGCAGUGGGGAAUCUUCCGCAAUGGACGAAAGUCUGACGGAGCAACGCCGCGUGAGUGAUGACGGCCUUCGGGUUGUAAAGCUCUGUUAAUCGGGACGCGGUACCGGAAUAGAAAGCCACGGCUAACUACGUGCCAGCCGCCGCGGUAAUUC